This 1351-nucleotide ribosomal RNA is filed under the name metagenome. Its description in RNAcentral is "bacterial LSU rRNA". It matches the Rfam family "Bacterial large subunit ribosomal RNA", at positions 869 to 2238 of the family's 2925-position model. The record is from RNAcentral.
UCGAGGUAUAGCGUCGCGUGUUUAUCAGUGGAGGUAGAGCACUAACUGGUCUAGGGGGCCUACAAGCCUACCGAAAUCAAUUAAACUCCGAAUGCCAUUGAAGCAAAGCGCGGCAGUGAGACGGCCGGGGAUAAGCUUGGUCGUCGAGAGGGAAACAGCCCAGACCAUCGUUUAAGGUCCCAAAGUUCUGGCUAAGUGGUUAACGAGGUGAGAUUGCUCAGACAAUCAGGAGGUUGGCUUAGAAGCAGCCAUCCUUUAAACAGUGCGUAAUAGCUGACUGAUCGAGUGAUCUUGCGCGGAAAAUUCAACGGGGCUCAAGCCAGGCACCGAAGGCAUGGAUUCGUUAGGGAGGGAUCCCUAAUGAGUGGUAGGGGAGCGUCGUGUAAUAGGAUGAAGCUCGAGCGUAAGCGCGGGUGGACGAAUCACGAGUGCGAAUCCAGGAAUGAGUAGCGAAAAGCAAAGUGAGAAUCUUUGCCGCCGAAAGCCCAAGAUUUCAGGAACAAGGUUCGUCCUUUCCUGGUUAGGCGGGCCUAAGCCGAGGCCGCGAGGCGUAGGCGAUGGACAGACGGUUGAUAUUCCGUCCCCGGUGCGACAUGUGUUUGUAAGUGCGUCGGUUGGUCAGCCUACCUUCUAUUGGAUGGAGGAUGUCAUCUAUAACCAAGGGAUGACACGAGGACUUAGUCCGAAGUGGUGGAACCUAUACGGCCCAGAAAAGCUUGCAAAUUCGUCGUAUCGCCCGUAUCGCAAACCGACACAGGUGGGCGAGGAGAGUAUCCUCAGGCGCGCGAGAUAACCCACGUUAAGGAACUCGGCAAUCUGUACCCGUAACUUUGGAAGAAGGGUAACCCCAUUAGCUUGUAAGGACUUGCUCCUGAAGGGUGAAGGGGUCGCAGAGAAUCGGCUCAAGCGACUGUUUAUCAAAAACAUAGGUCUCUGCUAAGCCGCAAGGCGAUGUAUAGGGGCUGAUGCCUGCCCAAUGCCGGAAUGUUAAGGGGAGAGGUUAGGGGCAACCCGAGGCUUUGAACCGAAGCACCGGUCAAUGGCGGCCGUAACUAUAACGGUCCUAAGGUAGCGAAAUUCCUUGUCGGGUAAGUUCCGACCCGCACGAAUGGCAUAACGACUUGAGCGCUGUCUCAACGUGGGACUCGGCGAAAUUGUAUUACGAGUGAAGAUGCUCGUUUCUUAUGGUAAGACGGAAAGACCCUGUGGAGCUUUACUGUAGUUUGGCAUUGCGUCGUUGGAUUAGAUGCAGAGGAUAGGUAGGAGGCUGUGAGACAUCACUUUCGGGUGGUGAGGAGCCAACGGUGGAAUACUACCCUUCUGAUCUGACGGCCCUAACCUAGUCCAAAAA